AACCCCUGUGACAUACCUAUACGUUGCCUCGGCGGAUCAGCCCGCGCCCCGUAAAAAGGGACGGCCCGCCCGAGGACCCCUAAACUCUGUUUUUAGUGGAACUUCUGAGUAAAACAAACAAAUAAAUCAAAACUUUCAACAACGGAUCUCUUGGUUCUGGCAUCGAUGAAGAACGCAGCAAAAUGCGAUAAGUAAUGUGAAUUGCAGAAUUCAGUGAAUCAUCGAAUCUUUGAACGCACAUUGCGCCCGCCAGUAUUCUGGCGGGCAUGCCUGUUCGAGCGUCAUUUCAACCCUCAAGCUCAGCUUGGUGUUGGGACUCGCGGUAACCCGCGUUCCCCAAAUCGAUUGGCGGUCACGUCGAGCUUCCAUAGCGUAGUAAUCAUACACCUCGUUACUGGUAAUCGUCGCGGCCACGCCGUAAAACCCCAACUUCUGAAUGUUGACCUCGGAUCAGGUAGGAAUACCCGCUGAACUUAAGCA
Molecule: ribosomal RNA, 480 nt
Filed under: Fusarium oxysporum f. sp. lycopersici
Lineage: Eukaryota; Fungi; Ascomycota; Sordariomycetes; Hypocreales; Nectriaceae
Description: eukaryotic LSU rRNA
Rfam family: 5.8S ribosomal RNA (bases 131-284)
Source: RNAcentral